RNAcentral lists this ribosomal RNA (253 nucleotides) under uncultured bacterium. RNAcentral describes it as "partial 16S ribosomal RNA". It matches the Rfam family "Bacterial small subunit ribosomal RNA", at positions 524 to 776 of the family's 1533-position model. The record is from RNAcentral.
UACGUAGGGGGCUAGCGUUGUCCGGAAUCAUUGGGCGUAAAGAGCGUGUAGGCGGUCCGGUAAGUCCGCUGUGAAAGUCGGGGGCUCAACCCUCGAAUGCCGGUGGAUACUGUCGGGCCAGAGUGCGGAAGAGGCGAGUGGAAUUCCUGGUGUAGCGGUGAAAUGCGCAGAUAUCAGGAGGAACACCUAUUGCGAAGGCAGCUCGCUGGGACGUAACUGACGCUGAGACGCGAAAGCGUGGGGAGCAAACAGG